Molecule: ribosomal RNA, 528 nt
Filed under: Staphylococcus ureilyticus
Lineage: Bacteria; Bacillati; Bacillota; Bacilli; Caryophanales; Staphylococcaceae
Description: bacterial SSU rRNA
Rfam family: Bacterial small subunit ribosomal RNA
Source: RNAcentral
AGAUAAGGAGCUUGCUCCUUUGACGUUAGCGGCGGACGGGUGAGUAACACGUGGGUAACCUACCUAUAAGACUGGAAUAACUCCGGGAAACCGGGGCUAAUGCCGGAUAACAUUUAGAACCGCAUGGUUCUAAAGUGAAAGAUGGUUUUGCUAUCACUUAUAGAUGGACCCGCGCCGUAUUAGCUAGUUGGUAAGGUAACGGCUUACCAAGGCAACGAUACGUAGCCGACCUGAGAGGGUGAUCGGCCACACUGGAACUGAGACACGGUCCAGACUCCUACGGGAGGCAGCAGUAGGGAAUCUUCCGCAAUGGGCGAAAGCCUGACGGAGCAACGCCGCGUGAGUGAUGAAGGUCUUCGGAUCGUAAAACUCUGUUAUUAGGGAAGAACAAAUGUGUAAGUAACUGUGCACGUCUUGACGGUACCUAAUCAGAAAGCCACGGCUAACUACGUGCCAGCAGCCGCGGUAAUACGUAGGUGGCAAGCGUUAUCCGGAAUUAUUGGGCGUAAAGCGCGCGUAUGCGGUUUC